This 231-nucleotide ribosomal RNA is filed under the name uncultured bacterium. RNAcentral describes it as "partial 16S ribosomal RNA". It matches the Rfam family "Bacterial small subunit ribosomal RNA", at positions 546 to 776 of the family's 1533-position model. The record is from RNAcentral.
CGGAAUUACUGGGCGUAAAGCGCACGUAGGCCGAUUGUUAAGUCAGGGGUGAAAUCCUGGAGCUCAACUCCAGAACUGCCCUUGAUACUGACGGUCUCGAGUCCGGGAGAGGUGAGUGGAACUGCGAGUGUAGAGGUGAAAUUCGUAGAUAUUCGCAAGAACACCAGUGGCGAAGGCGGCUCACUGGCCCGGUACUGACGCUGAGGUGCGAAAGCGUGGGGAGCAAACAGG